GGAAGUAAAUUCCCAACUCUCCUUCCCUCGCCUUGCCAUUUUUUCUUCUGCAGCUGAUGACGUUAAAUUCGCAGAAUAAUAAUUGGAAAAAAGGAGAAAAAAAUGUAUUUUCCCGUGGGUGAUCCAUACUGGAGAUGUAGUGUUCCUCCUCAGCCUGAGGGAGGAAGCAGCCCAAAACAAAUCUUUGUUGGGUACUUGUCAUCUGAGGCAUCUAUGCUGAUGACUCCUCAUCUGUGGAGCUCUAAUGAUGGGAAGGGUAGUUCAGACUACUUGGGGAAAGAUAUCCUACAGUCACAUCCAGGUGCAUAUGGCAUAGAUGUCAGGCAUAUUCAUCCUGAAACUGGUCUUGGUGGACUAACAAGUGGGACCAGCAUUAGAGGUUAUCCAUCUCCAUUGAGAGAUCCUAGUUCACUAGGCCAAAGACCAGAUGUUGCUUCUCAUCCGAGUCCCAGAAUCCAUGAUAACAUCUUUGAUAGGCCGAGUUCUUUGAGAAGGAUUAAUGGCCUUCCAGUUACGGAGGAGAAUCAAACAUUCUUUUUGUUGAUGGGCUUCCAACUGACUGUUCAAGAAGAGAAGUAGGCCAUCUUUUCCGUCCUUUUAUUGGCUUCAGAGAGCUUAGAGUUGUUCACAAGGAGCCCAGACAUGCAAGUAUGCUUUAUCCCUGGAAAUGUUCUAUAACGACUUAAAUCCCUCAUUUGCAAUAUCAAGAGCAGUAUCAGAUUAUCUGUUUAUUAUUAUCUAUUACUCUAUCCUACAACAGUACUUUUGUUUUUGAUUGGGUUAAAUUGUUCAUAUUUGACAAGAUCAUAUGUUUUCCUGAGAUUCUCUUUUGGGAAAGAAUGAGGUUUGUGAAGUGUGGGAAUGUGAUUUGUGUGGUUUUGGGACUACUACCUGUGAUUUGCUCCAUGAUAUUCAAUCUUGCUGAGAUUAUGUUGUCUUUCCACUUUGGUUCCUUGUGGUUAACCACAUAUUUGCUUAUUUAGUAUUUGUUUGCCUUCCAUAGUUGUUGGCUUCUGAUCUGGUAUACUUGGGACUUUUUAAACAAGACUAAUGUUGCCCCCCCUCCUCUCUUUCUCUCUCAAUGCUUACAUGAACAUGUACAUCCUUUGAAAUUUGUAGCUGUCAACAGACCCAUAACAUCUCAGAAAUUACCAAUUUUCUCUUGCAUUUUUUUUUUCACUGAUACAUUGACCAUAAAUAUGCUGCAGAGUGGAGAUAAAGCCUGAGUGUUGUGCUUCAUUGAGUUUGCUGAUGCAAACUGUGCUCUUACGGCCAUGAAGCCCUUUAAGGUUAUAAAUUUGAUGACAAGAAGCCUGACUCCCUUUCUUAAGCAUCCAUUUUGCCACUUUUCCUUUCCGUUUACCAUCUGAUCAAGAUGAUCAACAGUCUGGAGGUUUACGGUGAUAUUGCAGAAGUUCUGAGGCGCUGAAAAGUCAGGGUAGCCCAAGUUAUGCAGCUCGCAAAUUCAGCAGUUUAGGUUCUGAAUUCUGGAGGUAGCUAUGUUACUAUAGCAUGACAAACUUUGGUUUCAGUUCGAGCUCAAUCAGCCCUUUAGCUGUAAUUCCUGCUUUUAACCUCUUCCUCAAGACUGAACCAGCUACUCCAACUGCAAGGGGUCAUCAUGUGGAAAAGUAAAGUUUGAGAGAGCCAGACUGAUGUAGUACAACUUGGAUAAACUACACAUUACAACGAAGAAAUUUUUGUGCAUGUCUAUAUGCCGAGCCGGGACCUUGAUCAGCAGAAUUGUCUAUUACAAUUUUUGUGCAUUCCUACGUGUUUUUGUGUGUGGCAGAAUUGGAGCCGGGACCUUGAUCAGCAGUGAUUUUCCACCUUAAAGACAGCCCUUCUUUGUUGGUCCAGGUUGGUUUCAGCUCGCUCAUAAUUACUUCUUGUUGAAAAAAAUCGACUGCUGAACUGCUAAUGAAUAUGAAUUUCCUGUGAGCAUCAUCUAGACCGUGGUGUAAGAUGACAGGAGGCAAAUGAUGCAGCUGUGGAGUCUUUUUUUCAAAAAAAUAUUUUUUUUGGCGUGCAUGGAUCAUGCAGUUUUGCUGCCUUGACACUUUCUGUUGUAUCACCGGUCAAUAACCGUUUUUACGGCAUUUUGGUUCGGGACCUCGGGUUGUAACAUGGUAGUCUAGAGUAAACGAGGUAAUUUGCUGAUUGCUACUGGGUUACAAGUCGAGGAAUAUUAAUGAAACAAGAAAAAAUAUUUGUCAACCUGGACUGCAGCGAUCAAGGUGGGUUGGCUCAACCACCUCUGGGUUUUUUUGCAGCAUUUAAAAUCCUAUUGACUUUUGACAGAGGAAAGAUGACUUCCUGAAGAGUGGCAUGAUUAUCAAUAAUGUUGACUCGUGAUUAAUGUAUGUGUGGUUGGGAGUCAGUACUGACUUGAUCUGAUAUAUACUAAAAUUCAGUGGUAGUGUGUUAUUUUAAUCUGCACGGCAGAAUUAACGCAAUGAAAAUUCUUCACAAACUUUGCU
Molecule: non-coding RNA, 2480 nt
Organism: Coffea arabica (coffee)
Lineage: Eukaryota; Viridiplantae; Streptophyta; Magnoliopsida; Gentianales; Rubiaceae
Source: RefSeq, a predicted model, not a curated record